CUACGAAAUAGGGAGAGUCAGGAGAGUGUAUUUUGCCAAGCAAUUUGUAACUGAUUUGUUGUGUGAAACUAUAAUUAUUUCUCAUUAUGAGUGACACUGUGUUAUACAUAAUGGUUCGAGAAAGGAAAUCACAAUACUGUAUAUGUUUGGAAUAUCCUGCACAACGCCAAACAGGCUUCUACUCUUUAUAUUAUUGAGGAAUAGAACUGAGUUACUGGCUAGACACAUUAGACUGUACAGUACUUGCCUAAUCUGUGUGUUGUAAGAUAAGUGCCAAGCUUUGUACAGCUCAUAUUGUAUAAACAUUUCUGUAUAAACGGACAAGUACUCUUUUUACGGAGCUGGGACAAAACCCCCUUUAUAAAUUUUGAACAAACUUGAUUACUUUCAUGUGGUACAAUAUUUGUGUUGUUUUGUAUUGUAUAAUUUAUUUUGAGGUGGGAAGACAAGUGUUAUUAAGCUGUUAAUCUCGCUGCUUAUAUUUACUGCCAGUGUGUUAUGCUACUCUCCAGAUAAGUGGAAAAUACUGUGUACAUUUAGAACAUUGAAAGGACCAACAUUAGUGAUGUAAUUGGCAUGGCGGCAGCAGGUGAUGAGUCGCCUCAGGUGAUGAGUCGCCUCAGGUGAUGAGUCGACUCAGGUGAUGAGUCGCCUCAGGUGAUGAGUCGCCUCAGGUGAUGAGUCGCCUCAGGUGAUGAGUCGCCUCAGGUGAUGAGUCGCCUCAGGUGAUGAGUCGCCUCAGGUGAUGAGUCGCCUCAGGUGAUGAGUCGCCUCAGGUGAUGAGUCGACUCAGGUGAUGAGUCGCCUCAGGUGAUGAGUCGCCUCAGGUGAUGAGUCGCCUCAGGUGAUGAGUCGCCUCAGGUGAUGAGUCGCCUCAGGUGAUGAGCUUAGU
Molecule: non-coding RNA, 892 nt
Organism: Procambarus clarkii (red swamp crayfish)
Lineage: Eukaryota; Metazoa; Arthropoda; Malacostraca; Decapoda; Cambaridae
Source: RefSeq, a predicted model, not a curated record